GAGAUCGGGCUCGAGGGACGUGCCAGCAUCCUAUGAAAAUAGGUCCUGUAUUAAAGCACCCGCUAUGCGAUAAUACAGGUGUGCGGGGGAAUUUUACAGAGGUAAACCCCGCUGAAGAUAAAUAUUUAGUGGCCAGCAGCCGCGGUAAUUCCAGCUCCAAUAGCGUAUAUUAAAGUUGUUGCAGUUAAAAAGCUCGUAGUUGAACCUUGGGCCUGGCUGGCCGGUCCGCCUCACCGCGUGCACUGGUUCGGCCGGGCCUUUCCCUCUGGGGAUCCCCAUGCCCUUCACUGGGUGUGGUGGGGAACCAGGACUUUUACUGUGAAAAAAUUAGAGUGUUCAAAGCAGGCCUAUGCUCGAAUACAUUAGCAUGGAAUAAUAGAAUAGGACGUGCGGUUCUAUUUUGUUGGUUUCUAGGACCGCCGUAAUGAUUAAUAGGGACAGUCGGGGGCAUCAGUAUUCAAUUGUCAGAGGUGAAAUUCUUGGAUUUAUUGAAGACUAACUACUGCGAAAGCAUUUGCCAAGGAUGUUUUCAUUAAUCAGGAACGAAAGUUAGGGGAUCGAAGACGAUCAGAUACCGUCGUAGUCUUAACCAUAAACUAUGCCGACUAGGGAUCGGACGAUGUUAUUUUUUGACUCGUUC
This 640-nucleotide ribosomal RNA is filed under the name Peroneutypa scoparia. Its description in RNAcentral is "bacterial SSU rRNA". It matches the Rfam family "Eukaryotic small subunit ribosomal RNA", at positions 474 to 1081 of the family's 1831-position model. Lineage: Eukaryota; Fungi; Ascomycota; Sordariomycetes; Xylariales; Diatrypaceae. The record is from RNAcentral.